AACGAAGGAGGCGAACGUUAUCCGGAGUGACUGGGCGUAAAGCGCGUGUAGGCGGUCAGGAAAGCUGGGUGUGAAAGCGCUCGGCUUAACCGGGCAAGUGCACCCAAGACUGCGUGGCUGGAGGAAGGUAGAGGAGAGCGGAAUUAAGGGUGUAGCGGUGAAAUGUGUUGAGAUCCGGAGGAACACCGGUGGUGAAGGCGGCGCUCUGGGCCGGUCCUGACGCUGAGACGCGAAAGCGUGGGGAGCGAACGGG
RNAcentral lists this ribosomal RNA (253 nucleotides) under uncultured bacterium. RNAcentral describes it as "partial 16S ribosomal RNA". It matches the Rfam family "Bacterial small subunit ribosomal RNA", at positions 524 to 776 of the family's 1533-position model. The record is from RNAcentral.